Molecule: ribosomal RNA, 253 nt
Filed under: uncultured bacterium
Lineage: Bacteria
Description: partial 16S ribosomal RNA
Rfam family: Bacterial small subunit ribosomal RNA
Source: RNAcentral
UACAGAGGGGGCAAGCGUUGUUCGGAAUUACUGGGCGUAAAGAGCGUGUAGGCAGCCAGGUAGGUCGGUUGUGAAAACUGGAGGCUCAACCUUCAGAGGUCGACCGAAACCAUCUGGCUAGAGUCCGGGAGAGGAGAGUGGAAUUCCUGGUGUAGCGGUGAAAUGCGUAGAUAUCUGGAGGAACACCGGUGGCGAAGGCGGCAUCCUGGACCGACACUGACGCUGAGGAGCGAAAGCCAGGGGAGCAAACGGG